This 666-nucleotide ribosomal RNA is filed under the name uncultured Ascomycota. RNAcentral describes it as "LSU rRNA". It matches the Rfam family "Eukaryotic large subunit ribosomal RNA", at positions 399 to 1087 of the family's 3401-position model. Lineage: Eukaryota; Fungi; Ascomycota. The record is from RNAcentral.
GUGAAAUUGUUGAAAGGGAAGCGCUUGCAACCAGACCUGCCUGCGGUUGCUCAUCCGGGCAAAAGCCCGGUGCACUCUUCCGCUGUCAGGCCAGCAUCAGUUUGGGCGGUCGGAUAAAGGCUUCGGGAAUGUAGCUCCUCUCGGGGAGUGUUAUAGCCCGUUGCGAAAUGCGGCCAGCUUGGACUGAGGUCCGCGCUUCGGCUAGGAUGCUGGCGUAAUGGUUGUAAGCGGCCCGUCUUGAAACACGGACCAAGGAGUCUAACAUCUGUGCGAGUGUUUGGGUGUCAAACCCGUACGCGUAAUGAAAGUGAACGGAGGCGGGAACCUCUCGGGGUGCACCGUCGACCGAUCCUGAUGUCUUCGGAUGGAUUUGAGUAAGAGCAUAGCUGUUGGGACCCGAAAGAUGGUGAACUAUGCCUGAAUAGGGUGAAGCCAGAGGAAACUCUGGUGGAGGCUCGCAGCGGUUCUGACGUGCAAAUCGAUCGUCAAAUUUGGGCAUAGGGGCGAAAGACUAAUCGAACUAUCUAGUAGCUGGUUCCUGCCGAAGUUUCCCUCAGGAUAGCAGUAACGUUUUCAGUUUUAUGAGGUAAAGCGAAUGAUUAGAGGCCUGGGGGUUGAAACAACCUUCACCUAUUCUCAAACUUUAAAUAUGUAAGAAGUCCCUUG